GACGAACGCUGGCGGCGUGCCUAAUACAUGCAAGUUGAGCGCUGAAGGUUGGUACUUGUACCAACUGGAUGAGCAGCGAACGGGUGAGUAACGCGUGGGGAAUCUGCCUUUGAGCGGGGGACAACAUUUGGAAACGAAUGCUAAUACCGCAUAAAAACUUUAAACACAAGUUUUAAGUUUGAAAGAUGCAUUUGCUUCACUCAAAGAUGAUCCCGCGUUGUAUUAGCUAGUUGGUGAGGUAAAGGCUCACCAAGGCGAUGAUACAUAGCCGACCUGAGAGGGUGAUCGGCCACAUUGGGACUGAGACCCGGCCCAGACUCCUUCGGGAGGCAGCAGUAGGGAUUCUGCGGCCAGGGACGAAAGACUUACCGAGCAACGCCGCGGGAGUGAGGAGGGUUUUCGGAUCGUAAAACUCUGUUGGUAGAGUGGAACGUUGGUGAGCGUGGAAAGCUCAUCAAGUGACGGUAACUACCCAGAAAGGGACGGCUAACUACGUG
RNAcentral lists this ribosomal RNA (497 nucleotides) under uncultured bacterium. RNAcentral describes it as "partial 16S ribosomal RNA". It matches the Rfam family "Bacterial small subunit ribosomal RNA", at positions 28 to 507 of the family's 1533-position model. The record is from RNAcentral.